This 517-nucleotide ribosomal RNA is filed under the name uncultured bacterium. RNAcentral's name for it is "bacterial SSU rRNA". It matches the Rfam family "Bacterial small subunit ribosomal RNA", at positions 355 to 889 of the family's 1533-position model. The record is from RNAcentral.
UGGGGAAUAUUGGACAAUGGGGGCAACCCUGAUCCAGCAAUGCCGCGUGAGUGAUGAAGGCCUUAGGGUUGUAAAGCUCUUUCGGCGGGGACGAUGAUGACGGUACCCGCAGAAGAAGCCCCGGCUAACUUCGUGCCAGCAGCCGCGGUAAUACGAAGGGGGCUAGCGUUGUUCGGAAUUACUGGGCGUAAAGGGCGCGCAGGCGGUCCUUCAAGUCAGAUGUGAAAGCCCCGGGCUCAACCUGGGAACUGCAUUUGAGACUGAGGGACUUGAGGACGGGAGAGGAGAGUGGAAUUCCCAGUGUAGAGGUGAAAUUCGUAGAUAUUGGGAAGAACACCAAUGGCGAAGGCAGCUCUCUGGACCGUACCUGACGCUGAGGCGCGAAAGCGUGGGGAGCAAACAGGAUUAGAUACCCUGGUAGUCCACGCCGUAAACGAUGUGUGCUAGACGUUGGGAGACCUAGUCUCUCGGUGUCGCAGCUAACGCUUUAAGCACACCGCCUGGGGAGUACGGCCGC